AACGAGGCCGACCUGCGGCUGAGUUACCUGCGGAAGGAUCAUUAACCUUUCAAAAAACAGGGUGCGUCGCGGCCCCCCUCCGGGGGCGGUUUGGGGUCCUCCCCUUCACGCGCGCACGACUGCAUCCUUACUUUACGAGCACCUUCUGUUCUCCCUCGGCGGGGCAACCUGCCGUUGGAACCGAAUAAACCCUUUUUUGCAUCCAGCAUUACCCGUUCCGAAACAAACAAUCGUUACAAC
This 240-nucleotide unclassified non-coding RNA is filed under the name soil metagenome. RNAcentral describes it as "partial contains 5.8S ribosomal RNA, internal transcribed spacer 2, and large subunit ribosomal RNA". The record is from RNAcentral.